RNAcentral lists this ribosomal RNA (348 nucleotides) under uncultured Entrophospora. RNAcentral describes it as "SSU rRNA". It matches the Rfam family "Eukaryotic small subunit ribosomal RNA", at positions 569 to 916 of the family's 1831-position model. Lineage: Eukaryota; Fungi; Glomeromycota; Glomeromycetes; Entrophosporales; Entrophosporaceae. The record is from RNAcentral.
AGCAGCCGCGGUAAUUCCAGCUCCAAUAGCGUAUAUUAAAGUUGUUGCAGUUAAAAAGCUCGUAGUUGAAUUUCGGGAUUGACGUGACGGUCAUGCCUUAAGGGGUAUGAACUGUUACAGUUGAUUUCUCACCUUCUGGAGAAACUUGAUGUCCUUUAUUGGGUGUCUUGCGGAUCCAGGACCUUUACCUUGAAAAAUUAGAGUGUUUAAAGCAGGCAUUUUUGCUCGAAUACAUUAGCAUGGAAUGAUAGAAUAGGACGGCAUGGUUCUAUUUUGUUGGUUUCUAGGAUCACCGUAAUGAUUAAUAGGGAUAGUUGGGGCAUUAGUAUUCAAUUGUCAGAGGUGAAA